UACGGGGGGGGGCAAGCGUUGUUCGGAAUUACUGGGCGUAACGGGCUCGUAGGCGGCCAACUAAGUCAGACGUGAAAUCCCUCGGCUUAACCGGGGAACUGCGUCUGAUACUGGAUGGCUUGAGUUUGGGAGAGGGAUGCGGAAUUCCAGGUGUAGCGGUGAAAUGCGUAGAUAUCUGGAGGAACACCGGUGGCGAAGGCGGCAUCCUGGACCAACACUGACGCUGAGUGAGCGAAAGCCAGGGGAGCAAACGGG
Molecule: ribosomal RNA, 255 nt
Filed under: uncultured bacterium
Lineage: Bacteria
Description: partial 16S ribosomal RNA
Rfam family: Bacterial small subunit ribosomal RNA
Source: RNAcentral